Molecule: long non-coding RNA, 443 nt
Filed under: Camarhynchus parvulus
Lineage: Eukaryota; Metazoa; Chordata; Aves; Passeriformes; Thraupidae
Description: lncRNA (ENSCPVG00000012320.2)
Source: RNAcentral
CCAGGUGAAACAGAGAGGAGGAAGGGCAGAGGGUGGCACUGGGCAGCCGAGCAUCCUCCUGCGCUGGGAGCCCAGGAACGAGCAGAGGCGCAGAACAGCUCCAGGCGAGGAUUUCAGCUCUGCGGGGAGGGGCUGCGCCGAGCAUCGGGGAUCAAGGGCUGGAAGGGAACCCAAGGUCCAGAAGUCUUCCAGAAAACAGUUUUAAAGUUGUUCAAAGCAAGGUGGAAAAGCUGAAAAGUCAAACUCAGAGUCCUGACACAGCUGGCUUUGAUUGGUCAUUAAGUCAAAACAAUUCACAUUAAACCAGUCAAACAACCACCUGUUGGAUAAACAAUCUCCAAACCACAUUCCAAAGCAGCAAAACAGAGGAGAAGCAAAUGAGAUAAUAUUGUUUUCCCUUUUCUCUGAGGCUUCUCAGCUUCCCAGGAGAAGAAUCCUGGGCA